RNAcentral lists this ribosomal RNA (465 nucleotides) under uncultured bacterium. RNAcentral describes it as "partial 16S ribosomal RNA". It matches the Rfam family "Bacterial small subunit ribosomal RNA", at positions 338 to 795 of the family's 1533-position model. The record is from RNAcentral.
CCUACGGGAGGCAGCAGUGGGGAAUAUUGCGCAAUGGGCGAAAGCCUGACGCAGCGACGCCGCGUGAGGGAUGAAGGUCUUCGGAUCGUAAACCUCUGUCAGCAGGGAAGAACGGUCACUGUGCUAAUCAGCAGUGAAUUGACGGUACCUGCAAAGGAAGCACCGACUAACUCCGUGCCAGCAGCCGCGGUAACACGGAGGGUGCGAGCGUUAAUCGGAAUUACUGGGCGUAAAGCGCUCGUAGGCGGUAUGUCAAGUCAAGGGUGAAAGCCCCGCGCUCAACGUGGGAACUGCCUUUGAAACUGGCAAACUGGAGUGUGUGAGAGGAUAGUGGAAUGCCAGGUGUAGGAGUGAAAUCCGUAGAUAUCUGGAGGAACAUCAGUGGCGAAGGCGACUAUCUGGCACAUAACUGACGCUGAGGAGCGAAAGCGUGGGUAGCAAACAGGAUUAGAUACCCCAGUAGUC